CAGAAUACUAACAGGUAUGAAUGGUGUAG
RNAcentral lists this non-coding RNA (29 nucleotides) under Mus musculus (house mouse). The record is from RNAcentral. Lineage: Eukaryota; Metazoa; Chordata; Mammalia; Rodentia; Muridae.